GGCGGAUUGCGUACUAGACUAUAUUCAUUACUAGAUCAAUUUGCAACUCUUGGCAACUUGUUACUUGCAAAAUGGAAAAGCAUAUUGUGCCUACCAAAUACUCAAAGGUUGGGCAAUUCGUGAGACUUGAGUUUUUUUGAUGCAAG
Molecule: long non-coding RNA, 146 nt
Organism: Zingiber officinale
Lineage: Eukaryota; Viridiplantae; Streptophyta; Magnoliopsida; Zingiberales; Zingiberaceae
Exons: 3
Source: RefSeq, a predicted model, not a curated record